GCACCCUUAGCUCAAUUGGAUAGAGUGUCUGACUACGAAUCAGAAGGUUACAGGUUCAACUCCUGUAGGGUGCG
Molecule: transfer RNA, 74 nt
Filed under: Atopostipes suicloacalis DSM 15692
Lineage: Bacteria; Bacillati; Bacillota; Bacilli; Lactobacillales; Carnobacteriaceae
Also listed under: 2 other names
Rfam family: tRNA
About the family: Transfer RNA (tRNA) molecules are approximately 80 nucleotides in length.
Source: Rfam by way of RNAcentral